Molecule: ribosomal RNA, 429 nt
Filed under: Chloroflexota bacterium
Lineage: Bacteria; Bacillati; Chloroflexota
Description: Chloroflexi bacterium partial 16S ribosomal RNA
Rfam family: Bacterial small subunit ribosomal RNA
Source: RNAcentral
UAGGGAAUCUUCGGCAAUGGACGAAAGUCUGACCGAGCAACGCCGCGUGAGUGAAGAAGGUUUUCGGAUCGUAAAACUCUGUUGUUAGAGAAGAACAAGGACGUUAGUAACUGAACGUCCCCUGACGGUAUCUAACCAGAAAGCCACGGCUAACUACGUGCCAGCAGCCGCGGUAAUACGUAGGUGGCAAGCGUUGUCCGGAUUUAUUGGGCGUAAAGCGAGCGCAGGCGGUUUCUUAAGUCUGAUGUGAAAGCCCCCGGCUCAACCGGGGAGGGUCAUUGAAAGCAGGGGGACUUGAGUGCAGAAGAGGAGAGUGGAAUUCCGUGUGUAGCGGUGAAAUGCGUAGAUAUAUGGAGGAACACCAGUGGAGAAGGCGGCUCUCUGGUCUGUAACUGAAGCUGAGGCUCGAAAGAGUGGGGAGCAAACAGG